ACGACUCUCGGCAACGGAUAUCUCGGCUCUCGCAUCGAUGAAGAACAUAGCGAAAUGCGAUACCUGGUGUGAAUUGCAGAAUCCCGCGAACCAUCGAGUCUUUGAACGCAAGUUGCGCCCGAGGCCACUCGGCCGAGGGCACGCCUGCCUGGGCGUCACGC
This 161-nucleotide ribosomal RNA is filed under the name Hordeum comosum. RNAcentral describes it as "5.8S ribosomal RNA". It matches the Rfam family "5.8S ribosomal RNA". From Rfam's summary of the family: 5.8S ribosomal RNA (5.8S rRNA) is a component of the large subunit of the eukaryotic ribosome. It is transcribed by RNA polymerase I as part of the 45S precursor that also contains 18S and 28S rRNA. Lineage: Eukaryota; Viridiplantae; Streptophyta; Magnoliopsida; Poales; Poaceae. The record is from RNAcentral.